AGUUAAAGUUUUCAUUCAAAUCUACUGUUAAAAACUGGCGUGGCUGAUGGAAUAACUAGACAGUUACACAUGGCAUGUCAACGUACAAGGACCAACUUUUAACAGUAGAAACGGAUGAAAUUUUUAAUA
This is a non-coding RNA of Gossypium raimondii (Peruvian cotton), 129 nucleotides long. NCBI's taxonomy places the organism in Eukaryota, Viridiplantae, Streptophyta, Magnoliopsida, Malvales, Malvaceae. The record is from Rfam.